CCUACGGGCGGCAGCAGUGAGGAAUAUUGGUCAAUGGGCGGAAGCCUGAACCAGCCAAGUAGCGUGCAGGAUGACGGCCCUACGGGUUGUAAACUGCUUUUAUACGGGAAUAACGCGCCUUACGUGUAGGGCUUUGCAUGUACCGUAUGAAUAAGGACCGGCUAAUUCCGUGCCAGCAGCCGCGGUAAUACGGAAGGUCCGGGCGUUAUCCGGAUGUAUUGGGUUUAAAGGGAGCGUAGGCCGCAUGUCAAGCGUGCUGUGAAAUGUCCGGGCUCAACCCGGGCCUUGCAGCGCGUACUGGCGUGCUGGAGUCCGCGGAAAGCAGGCUGAAGUCGUCGUGCAGCCGUGAGAUGCUUAGAUAUGACGAAGAACCCCGAUUGCGACGGCAGCUUGCUGCAGCGGAACUGACGCUGAUGCUCGAAAGCGUGGGUAUCGAACAGGAGUAGAUACCCCAGUAGUC
This 460-nucleotide ribosomal RNA is filed under the name uncultured bacterium. RNAcentral's name for it is "partial 16S ribosomal RNA". It matches the Rfam family "Bacterial small subunit ribosomal RNA", at positions 338 to 795 of the family's 1533-position model. The record is from RNAcentral.